RNAcentral lists this ribosomal RNA (527 nucleotides) under uncultured bacterium. RNAcentral's name for it is "bacterial SSU rRNA". It matches the Rfam family "Bacterial small subunit ribosomal RNA", at positions 833 to 1364 of the family's 1533-position model. The record is from RNAcentral.
UCGGGCCUUGGUAGCGCAGCUAACGCGUGAAGUUGACCGCCUGGGGAGUACGGUCGCAAGAUUAAAACUCAAAGGAAUUGACGGGGACCCGCACAAGCGGUGGAUGAUGUGGAUUAAUUCGAUGCAACGCGAAAAACCUUACCUACCCUUGACAUGUCUGGAAUGCCGAAGAGAUUUGGCAGUGCUCGCAAGAGAACCGGAACACAGGUGCUGCAUGGCUGUCGUCAGCUCGUGUCGUGAGAUGUUGGGUUAAGUCCCGCAACGAGCGCAACCCUUGUCAUUAGUUGCUACGAAAGGGCACUCUAAUGAGACUGCCGGUGACAAACCGGAGGAAGGUGGGGAUGACGUCAAGUCCUCAUGGCCCUUAUGGGUAGGGCUUCACACGUCAUACAAUGGUCGGGACAGAGGGUCGCCAACCCGCGAGGGGGAGCCAAUCCCAGAAACCCGAUCGUAGUCCGGAUCGCAGUCUGCAACUCGACUGCGUGAAGUCGGAAUCGCUAGUAAUCGCGGAUCAGCAUGUCGCGGUG